GUCCACGCGGUAACGAUGAAUGCUAGGUGUAGGAGGUAUCGACCCUUCUGUGCCGCAGUAACACAAUAAGCAUUCCGCCUGGGAGUACGGCCGCAAGGUUGAACUCAAGGAAUUGACGGGGCCCGCACAAGCAGCGGAGCAUGUGGUUUAAUUCGAAGCAACGCGAAGAACCUUACCAGGUCUUGACAUCCGUGUAAAGCCGCAGAGAUGCGGUGUGAGCUUGCUCAAUACGAGACAGGUGGUGCAUGGUUGUCGU
This 256-nucleotide ribosomal RNA is filed under the name uncultured bacterium. RNAcentral describes it as "partial 16S ribosomal RNA". It matches the Rfam family "Bacterial small subunit ribosomal RNA", at positions 793 to 1055 of the family's 1533-position model. The record is from RNAcentral.